UACGUAGGGUGCAAGCGUUGUCCGGAAUUAUUGGGCGUAAAGAGCUCGUAGGCGGUCUGUCGCGUCUGCUGUGAAAACUCAGGGCUUAACCCUGAGCUUGCAGUGGGUACGGGCAGACUAGAGUGCGGUAGGGGAGACUGGAAUUCCUGGUGUAGCGGUGAAAUGCGCAGAUAUCAGGAAGAACACCAAUGGCGAAAGCAGCUCUCUGGGACGGUACUGACACUGAGACGCGAAAGCGUGGGGAGCGAACAGG
Molecule: ribosomal RNA, 253 nt
Filed under: uncultured bacterium
Lineage: Bacteria
Description: partial 16S ribosomal RNA
Rfam family: Bacterial small subunit ribosomal RNA
Source: RNAcentral